Molecule: ribosomal RNA, 407 nt
Filed under: uncultured bacterium
Lineage: Bacteria
Description: partial 16S ribosomal RNA
Rfam family: Bacterial small subunit ribosomal RNA
Source: RNAcentral
GACGAACGCUGGCGGCGUGCCUAAUACAUGCAAGUAGAACGCAGUUGCGAACGGGUGAGUAACGCGUAGGUAACUGCCUCAUAGCGGGGGAUAACUAUUGGAAACGAUAGCUAAUACCGCAUACAGUGAGAUGGACCUGCGUUGUAUUAGCUAGUUGGUGAGGUAAAGGCUCACCAAGGCGACGAUACAUAGCCGACCUGAGAGGGGGAACGGGCAGACCUGGACUGGGAAACCGCCCAGACUCCUCAGGUAGGCCACAGGUGGGAAUCUGUGGCAAUGGGCGGAAUGCUGGACGAGCAACGCCGGCGGAGGGGAGGAGGGUUUCGGAUCUUAAAGCUCUGUUGUUAGAGAAGCGGUAACUAGCCAGAAAGGGACGGCUAACUACGUGCCAGCAGCCGCGGUAAUUC